AUGGCUCGGGACGAACGCUGGCGGCGUGCUUAACACAUGCAAGUCGAACGGAACUGUUAUGGAAUGUUUCGGACAGGAAGUUCAGUUAGUGGCGAACGGGUGAGUAACGCGUGAGGAACCUGCCUUUCAGAGGGGGACAACAGUUGGAAACGACUGCUAAUACCGCAUAAUACAUUUUCUUCGCAUGAAGGAGAUGUCAAAGAUUAUAUCGCUGAAAGAUGGCCUCGCGUCUGAUUAGAUAGUUGGUGGGGUAACGGCCUACCAAGUCGACGAUCAGUAGCCGGACUGAGAGGUUGAACGGCCACAUUGGGACUGAGAUACGGCCCAGACUCCUACGGGAGGCAGCAGUGGGGAAUAUUGGGCAAUGGGCGCCAAGCCUGACCCAGCAACGCCGCGUGAAGGAAGAAGGCUUUCGGGUUGUAAACUUCUUUUACCAGGGACGAAGGAUGUGACGGUACCUGGAGAAAAAGCCACGGCUAACUACGUGCCAGCCGCCGC
RNAcentral lists this ribosomal RNA (498 nucleotides) under uncultured bacterium. Its description in RNAcentral is "bacterial SSU rRNA". It matches the Rfam family "Bacterial small subunit ribosomal RNA", at positions 19 to 518 of the family's 1533-position model. The record is from RNAcentral.